This 693-nucleotide ribosomal RNA is filed under the name uncultured bacterium. RNAcentral's name for it is "bacterial SSU rRNA". It matches the Rfam family "Bacterial small subunit ribosomal RNA", at positions 58 to 725 of the family's 1533-position model. The record is from RNAcentral.
CAAGUCGAGCGAGAAGACCAGUCCCGACGCUCUCGGCCGACCACUAAGACGGACAGCGGCGCAAGGGAGAGUCAACGCGUCGGACACGUCACCCUCCAGGCCCGGGACAGCUCGCGGGAAACUCGCAGGCAAUACCGGAUAACACCCCCGGAACAAAGGCGCGACCCCGCCUGAGGAGCGGUCCGCGUCCUAUCAGCCCGUUGGUGGGGUAACGGCCCACCAAGGCAAUGAUGGGUACCGGGUGUGAGAGCACGGCCCGGCCCACUGGGACUGAGACACUGCCCAGACACCUACGGGUGGCCGCAGUCGAGAAUCUUCCGCAAUGGGCGAAAGCCUGACGGAGCGACGCCGCGUGCGGGAUGAAGGCCUUCCGGGUUCGUAAACCGCUGUCAGAGGGGAGUAAGUGAAAGGGGGUUUAUCCCCCUGGAUCUGAACUAUCCUCAGAGGAAGGACGGGCUUAAGUUCGUGCCAGCAGCCGCGGUAAGACGAACCGUCCAAACGUUAUUCGGAAUCACUGGGCUUAAAGGGGUGCGUAGGCGGCCCUGCAAGUUGGGGUGUGAAAUCCCCACGGCUCAACCGUGGGAAUUGCGCCCAAAACUGCAGGGACUUGAGGGAGACAGAGGUGAGCGGAACUUAUGGUGGAAGCGGUGAAAAUGCGUCUGAUAUCAUAAGAACACCGGUGGCGAAAGCGGC